UACGUAGGGUGCGAGCGUUAAUCGGAAUUACUGGGCGUAAAGCGUGCGCAGGCGGUUUGCUAAGACCGAUGUGAAAUCCCCGGGCUUAACCUGGGAACUGCAUUGGUGACUGGCAGGCUAGAGUAUGGCAGAGGGGGGUAGAAUUCCACGUGUAGCAGUGAAAUGCGUAGAGAUGUGGAGGAAUACCGAUGGCGAAGGCAGCCCCCUGGGCCAAUACUGACGCUCAUGCACGAAAGCGUGGGGAGCAAA
This 249-nucleotide ribosomal RNA is filed under the name uncultured bacterium. RNAcentral describes it as "partial 16S ribosomal RNA". It matches the Rfam family "Bacterial small subunit ribosomal RNA", at positions 524 to 772 of the family's 1533-position model. The record is from RNAcentral.